GGGCCCGUGGUCUAGCGGUUUAUGACGCCACCCUUACGAUCUUGAUAGGAAAGGUGGAGGUCGGGGGUUCGAAUCCCCUCGGGCCCA
Molecule: transfer RNA, 87 nt
Rfam family: tRNA
About the family: Transfer RNA (tRNA) molecules are approximately 80 nucleotides in length. Their secondary structure includes four short double-helical elements and three loops (D, anti-codon, and T loops).
Source: Rfam